GCACAAGCGGUGGAGCAUGUGGUUUAAUUCGAUGCAACGCGAAGAACCUUACCUGGUCUUGACAUCCACAGAACUUUCCAGAGAUGGAUUGGUGCCUUCGGGAACUGUGAGACAGGUGCUGCAUGGCUGUCGUCAGCUCGUGUUGUGAAAUGUUGGGUUAAGUCCCGCAACGAGCGCAACCCUUAUCCUUUGUUGCCAGCGGUCCGGCCGGGAACUCAAAGGAGACUGCCAGUGAUAAACUGGAGGAAGGUGGGGAUGACGUCAAGUCAUCAUGGCCCUUACGACCAGGGCUACACACGUGCUACAAUGGCAUAUACAAAGAGAAGCGACCUCGCGAGAGCAAGCGGACCUCAUAAAGUAUGUCGUAGUCCGGAUUGGAGUCUGCAACUCGACUCCAUGAAGUCGGAAUCGCUAGUAAUCGUAGAUCAGAAUGCUACGGUGAAUACGUUCCCGGGCCUUGUACACACCGCCCGUCACACCAUGGGAGUGGGUUGCAAAAGAAGUAGGUAGCUUAACCUUCGGGAGGGCGCUUACCACUUUGUGAUUCAUGACUGGGGUGAAGUCGUAACAAGGUAACCGUAGGGGAACCUGCGGUUGGAUCACCUCCUUA
RNAcentral lists this ribosomal RNA (610 nucleotides) under Pseudomonas aeruginosa. Its description in RNAcentral is "bacterial SSU rRNA". It matches the Rfam family "Bacterial small subunit ribosomal RNA", at positions 923 to 1533 of the family's 1533-position model. Lineage: Bacteria; Pseudomonadati; Pseudomonadota; Gammaproteobacteria; Pseudomonadales; Pseudomonadaceae. The record is from RNAcentral.